CCUACGGUGUGCAGCAGUGGGGAAUAUUGGACAAUGGGCGAAAGCCUGAUCCAGCCAUGCCGCGUGUGUGAAGAAGGCCUUCGGGUUGUAAAGCACUUUCAGUGGGGAAGAAAGCCUUGGGGCUAAUACCCUCGAGGAAGGACAUCACCCACAGAAGAAGCACCGGCUAACUCCGUGCCAGCAGCCGCGGUAAUACGGAGGGUGCGAGCGUUAAUCGGAAUUACUGGGCGUAAAGCGCGCGUAGGCGGUCUGAUAAGCCGGUUGUGAAAGCCCCGGGCUCAACCUGGGAACGGCAUCCGGAACUGUCAGGCUAGAGUGCAGGAGAGGAAGGUAGAAUUCCCGGUGUAGCGGUGAAAUGCGUAGAGAUCGGGAGGAAUACCAGUGGCGAAGGCGGCCUUCUGGACUGACACUGACGCUGAGGUGCGAAAGCGUGGGUAGCAAACAGGAUUAGAUACCCGGGUAGUC
Molecule: ribosomal RNA, 465 nt
Filed under: Vreelandella stevensii
Lineage: Bacteria; Pseudomonadati; Pseudomonadota; Gammaproteobacteria; Oceanospirillales; Halomonadaceae
Description: partial 16S ribosomal RNA
Rfam family: Bacterial small subunit ribosomal RNA
Source: RNAcentral